GAUGAACGCUAGCGGGAGGCCUAACACAUGCAAGCCGAGCGGUAUUGUUUCUUCGGAAAUGAGAGAGCGGCGUACGGGUGCGGAACACGUGUGCAACCUGCCUUUAUCUGGGGGAUAGCCUUUCGAAAGGAAGAUUAAUACUCCAUAACAUAUUGAUUGGCAUCAAUUAAUAUUGAAAGCUCCGGCGGAUAGAGAUGGGCACGCGCAAGAUUAGCUAGUUGGUGAGGUAACGGCUCACCAAGGCGAUGAUCUUUAGGGGGCCUGAGAGGGUGAUCCCCCACACUGGUACUGAGACACGGACCAGACUCCUACGGGAGGCAGCAGUGAGGAAUAUUGGUCAAUGGGUGCAAGCCUGAACCAGCCAUCCCGCGUGAAGGACGACUGCCCUAUGGGUUGUAAACUUCUUUUGUAUAGGGAUAAACCUACCCUCGUGAGGGUGGCUGAAGGUACUAUACGAAUAAGCACCGGCUAACUCCGUGCCAGCAGCCGCGGUAAUACGGAGGGUGCAAGCGUUAUCCGGAUUUAUUGGGUUUAAAGGGUCCGUAGGCGGACUUAUAAGUCAGUGGUGAAAGCCUGUCGCUUAACGAUAGAACUGCCAUUGAUACUGUAAGUCUUGAGUAUAUUUGAGGUAGCUGGAAUAAGUAGUGUAGCGGUGAAAUGCAUAGAUAUUACUUAGAACACCAAUUGCGAAGGCAGGUUACCAAGAUAUAGCUGACGCUGAGGGACGAAAGCGUGGGGAGCGAACAGGAUUAGAUACCCUGGUAGUCCACGCCGUAAACGAUGCUAACUCGUUUUUGGGCUUUAGGGUUCAGAGACCAAGCGAAAGUGAUAAGUUAGCCACCUGGGGAGUACGCUCGCAUGAGUGAAACUCAAAGGAAUUGACGGGGGCCCGCACAAGCGGUGGAUUAUGUGGUUUAAUUCGAUGAUACGCGAGGAACCUUACCAAGACUUAAAUGGGAAUUGACAGCUUUAGAAAUAGAGCUUUCUUCGGACAAUUUUCAAGGUGCUGCAUGGUUGUCGUCAGCUCGUGCCGUGAGGUGUUAGGUUAAGUCCUGCAACGAGCGCAACCCCUGUCACUAGUUGCCAUCAUUCAGUUGGGGACUCUAGUGAGACUGCCUACGCAAGUAGAGAGGAAGGUGGGGAUGACGUCAAAUCAUCACGGCCCUUACGUCUUGGGCCACACACGUAAUACAAUGGCCGGUACAGAGGGCAGCUACACAGCGAUGUGAUGCAAAUCUCGAAAGCCGGUCUCAGUUCGGAUUGGAGUCUGCAACUCGACUCUAUGAAGCUGGAAUCGCUAGUAAUCGCGCAUCAGCCAUGGCGCGGUGAAUACGUUCCCGGGCCU
RNAcentral lists this ribosomal RNA (1345 nucleotides) under uncultured bacterium. Its description in RNAcentral is "bacterial SSU rRNA". It matches the Rfam family "Bacterial small subunit ribosomal RNA", at positions 28 to 1381 of the family's 1533-position model. The record is from RNAcentral.